CCUACGGGAGGCAGCAGUGGGGAAUAUUGGACAAUGGGGGGAACCCUGAUCCAGCCAUGCCGCGUGUGUGAAGAAGGCCCUCGGGUUGUAAAGCACUUUCAGUGAGGAAGAACGCCUGGUGGUUAAUACCCAUCAGGAAAGACAUCACUCACAGAAGAAGCACCGGCUAACUCCGUGCCAGCAGCCGCGGUAAUACGGAGGGUGCGAGCGUUAAUCGGAAUUACUGGGCGUAAAGCGCGCGUAGGUGGCUUGAUAAGCCGGUUGUGAAAGCCCCGGGCUCAACCUGGGAACGGCAUCCGGAACUGUCAAGCUAGAGUGCAGGAGAGGAAGGUAGAAUUCCCGGUGUAGCGGUGAAAUGCGUAGAGAUCGGGAGGAAUACCAGUGGCGAAGGCGGCCUUCUGGACUGACACUGACACUGAGGUGCGAAAGCGUGGGUAGCAAACAGGAAUAGAUACCCGAGUAGUC
This 465-nucleotide ribosomal RNA is filed under the name Vreelandella stevensii. Its description in RNAcentral is "partial 16S ribosomal RNA". It matches the Rfam family "Bacterial small subunit ribosomal RNA", at positions 338 to 795 of the family's 1533-position model. The record is from RNAcentral. Lineage: Bacteria; Pseudomonadati; Pseudomonadota; Gammaproteobacteria; Oceanospirillales; Halomonadaceae.